UUCACGUUCGCGAAAAGACGCCAUGUUUUUGUUGCUCGCCUCGGCUGAAAAUAUGCUAAACUAAGUUUGCAAUACGCGAAAAACUCGAUCGUAUUUUAUAAAAAAAAAUAGUGUAAGAGGAGAUAUUUUUCGAUCGGGAAUUUGCUCUGUUGUUGGAUUACGAAGUUAAUGCAGACGACCUUUGCCCCGAGACGCAAAGAGGUCAUCACUGAAAACCUACCUGUUUGUGAGAUCCUGGAACGCUGGCCUGCCUUUAAAAUGGAGUCACAGAUCUGUUCUGAGUUUCACAAAAUUACAAAUGUCAACCUGAAGAACCACUUCUAUGCCGUGUUGGACCAGCAUGCUCCCCGUCUUCAGAGCUUGUUCAGAAAGAAAGCUGCUCGCACAGGAAAAGUGUCUGAAGUGUCAGCUCUUCGGGAUAUAUGACCUCCAGGAAAAAGUUGACGUCCAUGUACGACGAGCUGCCAUCCUCCGUGCUCUCCCUGCCUAUCUGCAAGAGGAUGACUCCAACUUUUUCAAGACAUGGGAUGUAGAGCAAUCUGAUGAACCUGACAUUGAUGAUGUACCACUUGGUCUCCUCUCCAUUAGUGGCAAUUCAACAGAUGCCACAUUCUUCUGCCCAGAGAAGAUUGCAGUUGUACUUAAGGGUAACAUGGUUACCGAUUUCCCCACAUUGGCUGAUGCAUUUGUCAUGCUUUUUGGACUAACUUAUGCCUUGGAUCUAAGUUACCCAAAAGAGUUUGCCAACACAUUUGACUUUACCCAGAAAGUCUUGAUGGGUCUGGAGGAUGGAAAGCUGAGGCCCAGAGCUUUUGGCAGUGGAGUUACCACAGUGUUUGAACAAAGCUUACAAAG
This 855-nucleotide long non-coding RNA is filed under the name Sinocyclocheilus anshuiensis. Its description in RNAcentral is "lncRNA (ENSSANG00000041936.1)". Lineage: Eukaryota; Metazoa; Chordata; Actinopteri; Cypriniformes; Cyprinidae. The record is from RNAcentral.